GCAAACUUGGUCAUUUAGAGGAAGUAAAAGUCGUAACAAGGUUUCCGUAGGUGAACCUGCGGAAGGAUCAUUAUUGAAAACAUUGUAGAGGGAGGUUCUAGAGCUGGCUCUUCACGGGGCAAGUGCUCGCCUUUCUCUCAAUCUUCAUCCACCUGUGCACCUUUUGUAGAGAGACUUGUUUGAGAAAGGGAGCCCGUAAAACGGUUCCUCGGUAUCAGGGAAGGCCUUUCUAUGUUUUUUUCACACUCUAAAUGUAUGUCUUGAAUGUCUUUUUAAUAGGGGAAACCCUUUAAAAACUAUACAACUUUCAGCAACGGAUCUCUUGGCUCUCGCAUCGAUGAAGAACGCAGC
Molecule: unclassified non-coding RNA, 351 nt
Filed under: uncultured fungus
Lineage: Eukaryota; Fungi
Description: partial contains small subunit ribosomal RNA, internal transcribed spacer 1, and 5.8S ribosomal RNA
Rfam family: Eukaryotic small subunit ribosomal RNA (bases 1-73)
Source: RNAcentral